UCGAGAAUAAUUCGCAAUGGACGAAAGUCUGACGAUGCGACGCCGUGUGAACGAUGAAGGCCUUCGGGUUGUAAAGUUCUGUCAACUUGGAACAAGGUAUGCCGAGGAAUAUUCGGCAUGCUUGAGGGUACAAGAGUAGGAAGCACCGGCUAACUCCGUGCCAGCAGCUGCGGUAAUACGGAGGGUGCAAGCGUUAGUCGGAAUUACUGGGCGUAAAGAGCGCGUAGGCGGGGAUGUAAGUCAAACGUGAAAUUUCGGAGCUCAACUCCGAAGCUGCAUUUGAAACUACAUUUCUUGAGGAAUGACGGAGAAAGUAGAAUUCCACGUGUAGCGGUGAAAUGCGUAGAUAUGUGGAAGAAUACCUGUGGCGAAAGCGACUUUCUAGUCUAAACCUGACGCU
This 400-nucleotide ribosomal RNA is filed under the name uncultured bacterium. RNAcentral's name for it is "bacterial SSU rRNA". It matches the Rfam family "Bacterial small subunit ribosomal RNA", at positions 355 to 747 of the family's 1533-position model. The record is from RNAcentral.